GAUGAAGAACGUAGCAAAAUGCGAUACUUGGUGUGAAUUGCAGAAUCCCGUGAACCAUCGAGUUUUUGAACGCCAGUUGCGCCAGAAGCCUGUUGGCCGAGGGCACGUCUGCCUGGGCGUCACGCAUCGCGUCGCCCCCCACAAAGUCUCCGUCAGGGGAGCUUGUGUUUCGGGGGCGGAUACUGGUCUCCCGUGCUCAUGGCGCGGUUGGCCGAAAUAGGAGUCCCUUCGAUGGACGCACGAACUAGUGGUGGUCGUAAAAACCCUCGUCUUUUGUUUCGUGCCGUUAGUCGCGAAGGUAGCUCUUCAAAAACCCCAACGCGUCGUCUCUUGACGGCGCUUCGACCGCGACCCCAGGUCAGGCGGGACUACCCGCUGAGUUUAAGCAUAUCAAUAAGCGGAGGA
RNAcentral lists this unclassified non-coding RNA (405 nucleotides) under soil metagenome. RNAcentral's name for it is "partial contains 5.8S ribosomal RNA, internal transcribed spacer 2, and large subunit ribosomal RNA". The stretch from base 1 to 122 matches the Rfam family "5.8S ribosomal RNA", at positions 35 to 154 of the family's 154-position model. The record is from RNAcentral.